CUAUAGUAAGAGGGCCGGUGCAAGCCGGCUAUGACACUAAACCCCACGCGGAAUAAGCGUUGCGGACCCGGGGGCGGUACCCGGCGCCUCCACCAGUCCCGAUCCCUUGGGCCCCAUCCCUUGGAAUCGGCCUCGGGGGCGAAAUAGGAUCGACGUGCGUGGUAAAGGCCUGGGUUGUGUUCGGCAUGGUACCACCGUUAUCGGACCAACUCUGACAAGUGCCAACGAUAACGUUGAACUUGCCGCUGCGGCCUAAAAAUCCGUAAGCGCGGUUCGGGGGGGCACCGGGCAACAGAAGCCCCCCCACUUCUCCCCCUGCUCUCCAAACAAGAACCCUGCUCCCUCGG
This 347-nucleotide transfer-messenger RNA is filed under the name Pararhodospirillum oryzae. RNAcentral's name for it is "transfer RNA". The stretch from base 1 to 308 matches the Rfam family "Alphaproteobacteria transfer-messenger RNA". Rfam says of the family: Bacterial tmRNA, also known as 10Sa RNA or SsrA, is named for its dual tRNA and mRNA-like properties. Its role is to liberate the mRNA from a stalled ribosome. To accomplish this part of the tmRNA is used as a reading frame that ends in a translation stop signal. Lineage: Bacteria; Pseudomonadati; Pseudomonadota; Alphaproteobacteria; Rhodospirillales; Rhodospirillaceae. The record is from RNAcentral.